UUUAUAUUUUCUCUAUGUACUACAUAAAAAGCCAUAUGCACAACCUAAAGAAGCACAAAUCUUCAUGAUGCACUUAAGAAAUUAGAAAAAGAAACAAAGAAACAUAUUAGACAAAGUUUAGGGUCAAAACUGAUAGACAUUUUGAAACUUCUGGUUUUAAUGAAACUUAAAAAUUGAGGAUGAAAAACGUAAUUUAGUAAAAAGAAAAAUCACAAAGAUAUGUAACCCUAGUAUCUCCAUUUACCCCGUCGCAUUCUACCCUAAUAUCCAGCCGUCACAC
This 280-nucleotide long non-coding RNA is filed under the name Helianthus annuus (common sunflower). RNAcentral describes it as "sRNA HanXRQr2_Chr09g0363081". Lineage: Eukaryota; Viridiplantae; Streptophyta; Magnoliopsida; Asterales; Asteraceae. The record is from RNAcentral.